AAACUUUGGUCCCAGGUUCAUUAUUAUUUUAUUUAAAGCUUAUACAUGCAAGCAUCCACGCCCCCGUGACACACAGGUAUCAUGGACGACCAUAAAACACCUAGCCCCGCCACACCCACAUGGGCCAGCAGCAGUAAUCAACACUAGGCUAUGAGCUAAACGCUCGACCAGGCUACAGAAACAAGGGCCGGCUAACUUAUGUGCCAGCCGCCGCGGCUACACUGAGGGCCCAAAAUAAUUCCCACGGCAAAAAUGACUAAAAGCCCACCAAACGACUAAGAAUAAAUCAAGUUUGACACGUAAAACAGUACACAACGGAGAACCACAAAUCUUAAGACCAAGGCGCUUUAACUCAUAGAAGUGGGGAAACAAACUAGGAUUAGACACCCUACUAUGCCCCACUAAAACCACGACCAAAAAAGUACAGGUACAGCCUGAAACUUUAAGGACCUGGCGGUACUCAACAUCAACCUAGAGGGGCCUGUCUAGUAACCGAUAGUCCACGAAAAACCCAACCUUUUCUAGCCAUUAAAGCCUGUAUACCGCCGUCCACAGCAUAUUUUACGAAAAAUGUAGCCAAACAGACCCCCCCCCUAAAACGUCAGGUCAAGGUGUAGCACAUGAAAAGGAUAAGAUUGGCCACAGUACCAACCACGAUAAAUUACAAUGAAACGCAUAACCAAAAACGAAUUUAGCAGUAAGAAGACCAACGAAUAGCCUUCUGAAACACCACCGCUCUAGAGUACGCACACACCGCCCGUCAUCCUCUUUAACAAAUGCAAGAGGCAAGUCGUAACAAGGUAAGUGCACCAUAAGGUGUACUUAGAAGA
This 830-nucleotide non-coding RNA is filed under the name Acanthosaura armata (armored pricklenape). Lineage: Eukaryota; Metazoa; Chordata; Lepidosauria; Squamata; Agamidae. The record is from RNAcentral.